Molecule: long non-coding RNA, 619 nt
Filed under: Drosophila melanogaster (fruit fly)
Lineage: Eukaryota; Metazoa; Arthropoda; Insecta; Diptera; Drosophilidae
Description: long non-coding RNA:CR45901 (Dmel_CR45901)
Source: RNAcentral
UAUCUUGAAACCUAACUUGACGGAAAAAGUGAUGUAUUUGCAAGCUUCGUUUUUAGAAAACAAAAGUAUUCAACAUGGCUGCCCAACAAACAUGUCAGAGAAGAUGUGAACACGAAAAAAGCAUACAGAAGUGAAAAAGAAACAAAAUUAAAACCAGAGGAAACGAGUCAGCGACGGAGGCGAAGCGAAGGCUGAAACCGAGGCUUCGGUGAUGAAGAUGAAGAUGGUGAAGUCUGGGCGCGGAACAAGUUUUCAAAACUUGCUACAAAGGUGUCUUUAAAAAUCUUUUAAUUUCGACUCCUUCCCCCGACGGUUCACCCUUCUUUUUUGCCCGUUCGAGCAAAGUGCAAAUUUGCUGUCGUCAGUGGGCAACUGAAAAUGGAGCUUGAGAAGGAGCUCCAAAGCGCCUGGGAGCUGGGAGUCGCCGCCCGCCUUUUAAUGAAGCGCGAAGUGCAGAAAAUGUAUUUGUAUCUCUUACUGCACAAGAAGAAAUAUCUCACGAUUCGGUUCACAUUGUUCAGGCUCUAUCAGAAAACGUUAUAUAUUUGUUUCAUUUUAAGCCAUAUCGAUUACGUUUUCAAAUAAUAUCAAUUAAGUAUUCCAUCAAAAGUAUAUUCGU